AUGUUUUAGCUGUUUUGAAUGUAAACCAAAGCCACAUCUUUGUCGUGUCAUUCCUCAUGUCUAGUCCAACCACGCUGGAAAUGUUGGUACAAUCCUUUGGACCUUGGUAGACAAGUAAAUGGAGUGCCUCAAAGGAUCCUGUGGAUAGAGGCAGUGAUGAGGAGAUGGGAAGGGGAGGUGGCAACUUCGGGUGUCUAGAGGAGUCAAGUAGGUAAUAUAAACAAACAGUGCAUGUAAAGUAAAAAAGCGAUGUGAACUGGGUGUGAGAUGAUUGUCAGUGACCAGCCUGCAUCCUCAGAGAUGAGGCAUAGUAGGGAAGUAAGUGACAGGCACUGUGAAAAUGAAAGCCCAGGGUUGCAGGUCUUAAAUUUUUCAAAUAAAAUGGAAAUCCUGAUUUUUAUGGGAGGUCUAUUGAUGCUUAAAAGCUGGCAACUAAUUCUUUUUUUUUUUUUUAAUGAUUUGCAAGCAAGAUGCAAACAGUAGAUCGCCAGUGUGCAGUCUCUACCAUAAAGUCAUAUGUUCUGUCAGCAGACAUCCCAAGGUUUUUCUGUCACCUUCUGCUUAAUGCCAGGAGCCAUUCAAGAUAGGACAGCUACUGGGCAGACAGGCAGUGGAGCAGGAGUCAGGCCGAGAGCCCAACCACAGUGUUUUGAUUAUUGUUGGGAGGGGAAAGUGGGCUCAACUUGUUCGUUCCCCCUUGCUUCUCCUCGCUCUCUGAGAAACACAGUACAUGAUGGGCUCACUCCUCUCCUUGGCUCUCUGUGUUCCUAUUGGUAAUGGAUACACCAAGGUGGUAAAAGGUCAAGUGAAUGGACUGAUUCACCAGAUGUCUUUGGGAAACUAUCUUAAAUGGGGAAACAGUAAACAUAUUAGUCAGCUGCUCUGUAAAGGAGAUGACUGCCUAGCUUAGAAGAAACUGCUUUAAGUCUCCCUGUCUGGAGCCAAAAUGAUUGAAAGUUGGCUGCCAAGACCUCAGCUGGAAAAGGAACUUGACCACCCGACUGACCUUGUUAUUUUUAAACACAUGUAUUUCCAGCUCACCCUGGACCAAGUCCUAGUCCUCACUGAAAAGUCGUGUACGGUGUGAACCUGAUGUUUUUCUCACAGUUCAGUCUGUUGGCCAUCAUCAACCUUCUCCUCAUUUCCUACUAGGGUCUAAGAUGUUCUUCCACUUGAGGAGGAGGUAGCUUGCCUGCCCAGAAAGAGUAGUCAUGCCUUGUUUCAUCAUCAUUUGAGGUAGGAUAGUUCCCAAAUCUGGAUUUUUUUUAUUUUUAAUAUUAGUUCCCUGGCCUUACCUCUAGGCACUCUGACUCAAUAUGUCUCAGGUAAGGCUUGCAAAUCUAUUUUUUUUAAUGAGAAAAAGAAAACUUUCUACGUAGUGCAGAUACAGCUGAUGCGUGGGCCAGCUAUUGGGCGCUAUUAGAACAACUACCUUAGGCUUACAUCUAAACAGCCAAAGUCCAGCUCACUCAACCAACUUGAGAAUUUUGUCUGAAACUUUUUUCCUUACUUCUAGGCUGUGGAAAUUUUUUAAAUUAAUUUUAUUGGAGUAUAGUUGAUUGGAAAAAAAUUUUAAUAGAAAUUAUUGGUUUAUUUAUAUCUAAUAACUGAAAGACCAGUUAUUAGAUAUAAUACCUUUUUCUUUUUUUUAAAUGAUAAACUUAUAAAAAUGUUGAGAAUAGUAUUGAAAAUCAUGUAACUGAUAAGGGAUUUGUAUUCAGAAUAUAUAAAGAACUCUUACAACUCGAUAAUAAAAAGGGGGUCUGAAUAGACACUUCUUCAUAGAAGACAUACUAAUGGCCAAUAAGCACAUGAAAAGAUGCUAACAUGAGUCAUCAGGGAAAUGCAACUCAAAACCACAAUGAGAAUCACUUCAUACCCACUAGGAUGGCUAUAAUCAGACAAUAACAAGGAUUAUCAGGGAUAUGGGGAAACUAGAACCCUUACACACUACACUGUUGGUCAGAAUGUAAAAUGGUGCAGUUGCUUUAGAAAACAGUCUGGCAGGGCUUCCCCGGUGGCGCAGUGGUUAAGAAUCCGCCUGCCAAUGCAGGAGACACGGGUUCCAGCCCUGGUCCGGGAAGAUCCCACAUGCCGCGGAGCAACUAAGCCCAUGCGCCACAACUACUGAGCCCGUGCUGUAGAGCCCGCGAGCCAAAACUACUGAGCCCGCGUGCCACAACUACUGAAGCCCGCACCUAGAGCCUGUGCUUCGCAGCAAGAGAAGCCACCGCAGUGAGAAGUCCAUGCACCACAACGAAGAGUAGCCCCUGUUCACCGCAACUAGAGAAAGCCCGCACACAGCAACAAGACUCAACGCAGCCAAAAAUAAAUAAAUUUAUUUUAAAAAAAAACAAAAAAACAGUCUGGCAAUUUCUCAAAAGGUUAAACAUAGAGUUACCAUUUGACCCAGCAAUUCUACUUCUACAUAUAUACCUAAAAUAAAUGAAAACGUGUGCACAAAAAGUGUACCUCAACAUUCAUUGUGGCAUUAUUCAUAAUAGCCAAAAAAUAGAAACCACAAAUGUCCAAACAACUGAUGAAUGAAUAAACAAGAUGUGAUACAGCCAUACACAUAUAUACAUGUAAUACUACUCAGCAAUAAAAAGGAAUAAAGUACUAAUACAUGCUUCUACAUGGAUGAACAUUGAAAACAGCUCAUCCAGAGCACAAAGUAGAUUAGCAGUUGCCAGGGGCCUGGGGGAGGGACGAAUGGAGAGUGACUGCUAAUGGUUACAAGGUUUUGGGGGGAGUGAUAACAAUGUUCUGAUAUUAGAUAGUGGCAAUGAUUGCAAAACUCUGAAUAUACUAAAAACCACUGUAUUGGGCACUGAAAGUAUAAAUUUUUUGGUAAAAUUCAUAAAUCUCAAAGCUGUUAUUUAUGUUUUAAAAAACCUGCAACAGCUCAGAUGUCCUUCAAAAGUGAUUAGUUGCACAAACUGCAGAUACCAUGGAAUAUUGUUACUUGGUAAUAAAUAAAACAUAUACACACUGCAUGAGUCUCUGGGCAAUUAUGUUAAGUAAAAAUAGCCAAUCCUAAAAAGUUGCAGACUGUAUGAUUCCAUUUAUAUAACAUUAUUUGAAAUGGCAAACUUUUAAAAAUGGAGAACAGAUUAGUGAUUGCGAGGAGUUACAGAAGGGGGGCCUCGCUGGAGGGAGGUGAGUGUGGUUAUAAAAGGGUAACAGGAGGGAUCCUUGUGGUGAUGGAAAUGUUCAGAAUCUUGAAUGUGGUGUAAACCCGACAUAUGAUUAAGUUGUAUAGAACUAAAUACAAACCAAAAAAUGACUAUAAAUAUAACUGAGGAAAUCUGAACAUGAUCAGUGGAUUGUGUCAAUGUCAGUAUCCUGAUUGUGAUACUGUACGAUAGUUUUGCAAAAUGUCACCAUUGAGGGAAACUGGGUAAACGGUACACAGGACCUCAUCAGCAAGGACCUUUGAUGCAUGGAGAGGACAUAACACAGAUGAAGACAUUGGAAUGCCAAAGAUUAUGUGACAGCUUGCAAGUGGCACACAGCCACAAACAGAAGCCAGGGCUCUGGACACCCAUUCCUUCAUUCAACAAAUAUUUAUUUAUGUGAGUGACACCAAUGCCUCAGAUCCCCAGUUGUAGAAUCUAGGCCCUGGGGUUAUAGCCAUGAACAACCCUCAGGCCAGCCACAGCUCAAGGAGGUACAAAUGACCCCUCGCUGUCCCUAGUGAAAAAGUCCAGGGUCACUGGCUGUGGGUGUGAACGUAAGAAGGGAGACAAAGGAGGAUAAUGAGGCCAAAUAGCUCUGGCCCACAGCAUCCGUACUGGCAAAGACACCAAACCUCCUAACGCUCUUGCUAGGAGGCAGGAGGUGCGGCUUGGCCAAGAGGCCAGGACUCAAGUAACAGGACAUGGGCUGAGGAUUAGAGAGCUGGCGUCCAAGACUAACUCCUGCCGAAAACUACAGCUCCCAGGGUGCCCCGCGGUCCGCCCCAGCCCCGGCGGUCAUGUGACCGCUGCUCACGUGUCUCCACAGCCGGCCCGGGCUCGAAGCACCGCAGGUAGAGUUUGAGAAAGAAGAAACUGGGGGCAGAGAGGGAAGUGAGGAGAAUCAGAUCCCAGAUCUUUGGGGAGAAGGAGCUGUAAGGAGCAGCUGUCCCUCCACCAAAGCCGGCGGGGUGGAAAGAGCAGGUUGAGGAGAGCCAGAGCCCACAGGCCUCCUAGGAUAACAGCCCCAAACAGGCUGGUGGCACCCUCCAGCUGAAGGUGUUCCCUCAGCUCCCCAGGGCAUGUGGUCGUGAGACAGAACCCACAGACCCUGCAGGAACAGGACUCCCAGGGCCAUGGCCCAGGUCAGCAUCAACAGUGACCUUGGCGAGUGGGGCUUAAGCACAGACUCCGGGGAGCGUGCCCGUCUGCUGCAGAGUCCCUCUGUGGACAUAGCCCCCAAGAGUGAGGGGGAGGCCCCUCCUGGGGGUCUGGGCAGAGGCACCACUUCCACACUUGGAGCCAUCUUCAUCGUUGUCAAUGCCUGCCUGGGCGCAGGGCUGCUCAACUUCCCAGCAGCCUUCAGCACUGCCGGGGGAGUGGCAGCUGGCAUCACACUGCAGAUGGCCAUGCUGGUUUUCAUCAUCAGUGGCCUCGUCAUCCUGGCCUACUGCUCCCAGGCCAGCAAUGAGAGGACCUACCAGGAGGUGGUAUGGGCUGUGUGUGGCAAGCUGACAGGUGUGCUGUGUGAGGUGGCCAUUGCCACCUACACCUUCGGGACCUGCAUCGCCUUCCUCAUCAUCAUCGGGGACCAGCAGGACAAGAUUAUAGCUGUGAUGGCAAAGGAGCCUGAGGGGGCCGGCGGCAGCCCCUGGUACACAGACCGCAAGUUCACCAUCAGCCUCACUGCCUUCCUCUUCAUCCUGCCCCUUUCCAUCCCCAGGGAGAUCGGCUUCCAGAAAUAUGCCAGCUUCCUGAGCGUCGUGGGCACCUGGUAUGUCACUGCCAUCAUUAUCAUCAAAUACAUCUGGCCUGAUAAAGAGAUGACCCCAGCGAACAUCCUGAACAGGCCAGCUUCCUGGAUAGCCGUGUUCAAUGCCAUGCCCACCAUCUGCUUCGGAUUUCAGUGCCACGUGAGCAGUGUACCCGUCUUCAACAGCAUGCGGCGGCCUGAGGUGAAGACCUGGGGUGGGGUGGUGACAGCCGCCAUGGUCAUAGCCCUCGCUGUCUACAUGGGCACAGCCCUCUUGUCCCUGCCCUCAGGCAUCUGUGGCUUCCUGACCUUUGGAGCUGCUGUGGACCCCGACGUGCUCCUGUCCUACCCGUCGGAGGACAUGGCUGUGGCCGUCGCCCGCGCCUUCAUCAUCCUGAGCGUGCUAACCUCCUACCCCAUCCUGCACUUCUGUGGGCGGGCGGUGGUCGAAGGCCUGUGGCUGCGCUACCAGGGGAUGCCGGUGGAGGAGGACGUGGGGCGGGAGCGGCGGCGGCGAGUACUGCAGACGCUGGUCUGGUUCCUGCUCACCCUGCUGCUGGCGCUCUUCAUCCCUGACAUCGGCAAGGUCAUCUCGGUCAUUGGAGGGCUGGCCGCCUGCUUCAUCUUCGUCUUCCCAGCUGGUGGGCGAUGGUCAGUUACGGAGUCCUCUUGGUCACCCUGGGAGCCUUCAUCUUCGGCCAGACCACAGCCAACGCCAUUUUUGUGGAUCUCUUGGCAUAACCACUGCCUCCCAGGGAAUUCUUGGCCUUUGCCAUUGGACCCUGGAACCCAUCUCGUAGAGCUUCAGGACCACCCUGAGUCCGGCAUCAUUCCCCUCUACUGGUGGGAUGACAUCUGCACAUCCUUUUCCAGGGACAGUUCUGGGGUGAAAUCAGGCCCCACACCCCUGGACAGCUCAAACCCAGCUCCCUUCCUGCCCCUGCAUCCUGGCAGUGCCAUGGAUGGUAGGAGGAGGUCUUGUGUCACAGAAGAACCUUUCCCCCUCUUUCACCUCUCAACUUCUCCAUGCCUGGAAGCCAUGGGUGAAGAGAGUCGGUAGGUCUCCAAAGGAACAACUCAGCCUGACUUCCCUCUGGAGAAAGAGUGUGGACCAAGGGCUGCCAUCCUCCACAGAGAAGCCUGCCCUGGGUAGGGGCUGUGCUCAUUACCCCGGGACUCAGUGCCUGCUCCAGUCUGUCAGCAGCCCAGCCAGCAGUGGCUUCCUCCAGCAAGUUCCAAAGGUAGCACUGAAGUCAUAGAGGUGCGCCGAGGUAGGCAGACUGAUGCCUUGUCCACUGCCUCCUGGGCCUGCGGUGAGCCUGACAGCCCUCUUGCCCAUGGCUGGUUGACAUUUCCCAAGCCUUUUGGGGCCUCAUCCUGUCUUUUUACCUAGACCUGAUGGUCCAGGCAUCCCUCUGCAUCUCCAUGCCCAGACAUCACCAAGUCUAAUGUUUACAAACGGUGCCAGCCCAGCUCUGGGCCAGGGGCCGUCCCGUGCCACGGUGCUGAUACAAGUUCUGAUUCAGUAGAUCUGGAGUGGGGCCUGCAGUCUGCGUUGUUAACGCUCCCAGCUUCGCCCAUGCUUUGGUCCUUGGACUGCACUUUGAAUAGCAGGGGACUGGUGGACAGACCAAAGGCUUUGGCUUCGGACAGACCUGGGGUGGAUCUCAGCAGUGCCUCUUUACAGUGGGAACUCGGAAAGUAGUUCACUUCUCCGAACCCCACUCUCCUCGACUAUAAAGUGUGGAGGAAGGCCAGAGACAUUGUAGUCAGGAAGAAGGACGAAGGAAGAAGGCAGACACCCUGUCCUCCGAAUACUUUGUGUUUCCUGAGGGGGCACUGGGGUGGGGAGCGGGGGAGGCAUAGGCACAAGAUGCCUAUUUGGAUAUUCUUCCAUUAAAAAUGAAAUUGAUGUGUUUCCAGUCCAACAUGUAAGAAGCUUGGAAGUGGCCACUCCAUCCUAACAACAAGUAAAAAGUUGAACAAACCGAAAAGUCAACUCUUCUUAGAUAUGUACAAUAAGUCAGAUUAUAAGGCACACCGCUGCCCCCAGAACUGGAGAGAGAGACGGACAAAUACAGAGCAGAAACCCACACGCAGAAACCUCUGUGGGAGUCAGUGCCAGGGUAAGGAAACCUGAAAUGUAAUUGAUGAAUUGCUGGAGGCUCAGUGUGGACAAAUCUGAGAAAUAAAAACACCAAGGAAGGGCUUCCCUGGUGGCACAGUGGUUAAGAAUCCACCUGCCAAUGCAGGGGACACGUGUUUGAUCUCUGGUCUGGGAAGAUUCCACAUGCCAUGGAGCAACUAAGCCCGUGAGCCACAACUACUGAACCUGCGUGCCACAACUACUGAAACCCGUGCGCCUAGAGCCGGUGCUCCGCAACAAGAGAAGCCACCACAGUGAGAAGCCCGCACACCACGAUGAAGAGUAGCUCCUUCUUGCCGCAACUAGAGAAAGCCCGCGUGCAGCAAUGAAGACCCAGUGCAGCCAAAAAAAACAAAAACAAAAAAAACACCAAGGAACCCAGUCCUAUUGGGGGAAGGGAGCAUACUUUGUGACUUUGUGGGUUUUACCUGAAGCUCUACCAGGUUCUCAUAGUAAACAUCAGAAAAAAAUCCCUCGUUUCCAGCAGAGGAGGGUAAAAGGAACCAUUCUGAAAUGUGCUAGAGCAUUCUGUUCUUGUUAAUAAGAUAUGCCCUCAGGAGACACUUAAAAUUUAACCAGAGCCUAACAGACCUAAGGGAAGGGAAACACACAACUCAAUCCCACUCUAGCCACCCUGGGGGGACUGGAGGGAGAAGAUAAGUCAAGUCCAUAGUCUUUCUCUUAGUGAGCCAGUCCAUCACAGGCUCACUAAGAGACUGUGAUCCAGUCAUAGGACUAUAGAACGCUUCCCCUUCCCUUACACCUUGCAACCUUAUUACUAAAGGCCAAUCUACAGCAGUUCCUUUUACCUAGUACAUUAUGUCUGGCUAUCAAGAAAAAAUUACAAGAUAUACUAAAAGGCAAAAAACAUAGUUUUAAGAGACAGAGCAAGCAUCAGAGCUAGACUCAGAUAUGGCAGGAGUGUUAGAAUUAUCAGACCAGGAAUUUUAACAACUAUGGUUAAGAUGCUCUCAUGGAUGAAGCAGACAGCCUGCAAGAACAACAGAUGGGCAAUGUAAGCACAGAGAUGAAAAUUCUAAGAAAGAACCAAAAAGAAAUGCUAGAGAUAAAAAACACUGUAGGAGAGAUGAAGAAUGCCUAUACUGUACAGACUGGAUAGAACUUAGGAAAGAAACUCUGAGCUUCAGGAUAUCUCAAUAGAAACCUCCAAAACUGAAAAGCAAAUAGAAAAAAAAAAAGUCUGUGGAAAAACAAAAACAAAAAAAAAAGGAAUAAUGUACACAGAAUGGGAAUAUCAGAAGGAAAAGAGAACGGAACAGAAAAAUAUUUGAAACAAUAAUGACUGAGAAUUUCCCCCAAAUUAAUUUCAGGCACCUGAUUAAUUAAUGACAGACCAGGAAGCUCAGAGAACACCCAGCAGGAUAAAUGCCGAAAAAUAUGACACCAAGUCAUAUCAUUUUCAAAAAAUACAAAAAAUCAAAGAUAAAGGGAAAGUCCUGAAAGAAGCCAGAGGGAAAAAACGCCUAUAGAGAAGCAAAGAUUAAGAAUUACGAGGGAAUUCCUUGGCGGGCCAGUGGUUAGGACUUGGCACUUUCACUGCCAGGGGCUGGGUUCAAUCCCUGGUCGGGGAACUAAGAUCCCACAAGCCUCACAGUGUGGCCAAAAAAAAAAAAAAAAAAAAAUUACUGUUGAUCCUUGAACAAUAUGAGGGCUAGGGGCUCCAACCCUCUACAUACUUGAAAAUCUCCAUAUAAUUUAUAGUCAGCCCUUUGUAUCCGAGGUUCCUCCAUAUCCAUGGUUCUGCAUCUAAAGAUUCAACCAACUGCAGAUCGUGUAGUAUUGUAGUGUUUACUAUUGAAAAAAAUCCACUAUAUAUAGACCCUUGCAGUUCAAACCCAUGUUGUUCCAGGGUCAACUGUACAUCUGACUUCUCAGAAACUACGCAAGCAUGAAGAGAGUUGAGUGAAAUAUUUUAAAUGUUAAGAGAAACCUAGAAUUCUAUAUCCUGUAAAAUUAUCCUUCAACAGUGAAGGAGAAAUACUCUCUCAGACAAACAAAAAUUGAGGGAAUUUGUUGCCAGUAGACCUGCCUUGAAAGAAGUGUUAAAAGGAGUUCUUUAGAGAGAAGGGAAUUUUUUUUUUUGGCCACGCCACCCUGCUCUCAGGAUCUUAGUUCCCCAACCAGGGCCCCCUGCAGUGGAGCACAGAGUCCUAACCACUGGACCACCAGGGAAUUCCUGAGAGAAGGGAAAUUAAAUGAAGCAGAUAUCACAAUUAUAAAGCAAGAAGAGAAUGCUUUGAAAAAUGAACAAAAUGAAAACUAGCACCUAAAAAUUAAAAGUAUGAUUGCCAAAUUUAAAAAUAAAUCAAAACAAGAGUUAAAGAUAGUUAAGAAAAUCCCCUAGAAAGCAGAACAAAAAGACAGAGAUGGAGGGAAUUCCCUGGCUGUCCAGUGAUUAGGACUCAGCACUUUCACUGACAAAGAGAUAAGAAAAUUAGAGUUUCAACUCAGAUCCAACAUCUGACUAACAGGAGUUCCAGAAAUAGAGAAGAAAGAAAAUGGGCAGGGGUAGGAAGUGGGAGAGCAGAGAAAGACAGAUAUUACCAAAGAAGUAACUCAAGAAUAUUUUUCAGAACUGAAAGAUAUGAGUCUCUAUACUUGAGCCAGUAAAUUGAAUUUUAAGAGCUGCACACUGAAAAUAAAGAGAAAAUCUUAAAGAUUUUCUGAGAUAGUGGUGGGCAGGGAGGGCAUGCUUCUUGACAUCACUGCAAGCUAGACGAUAACACAUCAAUGCCUUCAUAAUUUUUGAGUGAAACUUUCCAACCUAGAUUUCAGUGCACAACCAAACCUUCAAUCAAGUGUGAGACUGAAACAAAAAUAUUUCCAGAUAGGUAAAGAGUAAAUAAAUUUACAUCCUGUGUAGCCUCUCUCAGAAAGUCACUGGAGAAUAUGCUUCAGCAAAACAGAGUUGUAAAGCAAGAAAGUGUAAGGCAAAGCAUCCAGGAAACCAAGAAUCUACCUCAGAAGAACCAAAUGAUGGUUUCCAAAUGGCAGCUGGGCAGCUGACCAAAACGUGGCCAGUUCAGUUGAAGCAGGAAUAGGGAGAGCAAUCAAAGGAAGGUCUCCAGGGAAAAAAUAAAACUAAGAGGUUAUCUGACUUGUCUAAGCAUUUGGAAUAAUUACUGACAGAUCUGUUGGAACGUUUGGAUAAGUAUGUAUAUAACAAAGCAAAUGGGAAAAUAUGGCCAUUAUUAACCACAGGAAAAACAAGUUUUACAAAGAAGGAAAGGAAAUCAUAGUAAACUAUCAAUACUUUUUUAAAAAUUUAUUUUAUUAUUUAUUUAUUUAGGCUGCGCUGGGUCUCAGUUAUGGCAUGAGGGAUCUUUAGUUGCGGCAUGUGAACUCUUAGUUGCAGCAUGCAUGAGGAAUCUGGUUUCCCCAACCAGGGAUCUUACCUGGGCCCCCUGCAUUGGGAACAGAGUCUUACCCACUGGACCACCAGGGAAGUACCUAAACUAUCAAUACGCAGCACAGCAGUGAACAAUAUUUACAUACUCAUAAUAAUGUACAUACUGAUUAUUUAACCCUAAGGGCUGUAUUGUGACAGAACCUCAUUUUAAAAGGGGAGGGGCUUUAGGGUGCAGGUGUAAGAAAGCUAAAUCUUUAAUCAAUAAUUACUGCUUUUAAUUUUUAAAUCACAAAAUAGCAGUAUAAGUACAUUAUCUUAAAAUAGUGAGAUAAAUGCCAAAAGAAACAACUUAAAAGAGAUGCAUGUAGGCAACACAACGAGCUAGAGGUGGGCAAAGCUGGGACAAAGGACUGCUGGCAUUUGAUAUGAGCUUUUUUUUAAAAAAAUGUUUAUUUAUUUAUUUUUGGCUGUGUUGGGUCUUAGUUGUGGCACGAGGUCUUCUCUCUAGUUGUGGUGCGCGGGCUUAGUUGCUCCACGGCAUGUGGGAUCUUAGCUCCCCGAUCAGGGAUUGAACCCUUGUCCCCUGCAUUGGAAGGCAGAUUCUUAACCACUGAACCAAAAGGGAAGUCCGGGAUAUGAGCUUUUUAUUACCACUGGAUUUAUAAAACAAAAUGCAUAACUAGUUGGGUUUUUUUUAACUUACAAUUAUUUUUAUACUUACAAUAGCCAAGAUAUGGAGGUAACCUAAGGGCCCAGUGAUAGAUAAAUGGAUAAAGAAGAUGUGGUCCAUAAAAAAGAAUGAAAUCUUGCCAUUUGAGACAACAUGGAUGGACCUAGAGGGUAUUAUGCUAAGUGAAAUAAGUCAGACAGAGAAAGACAAUAUAUGAUUUCAAUUAUUUGUGGAAUCUUAAAAACAAACACAACAAAACAGAAACAGCAUCAUAGAUAGAGAGAGCAAACAGGUGGUUGUCAGAGGAGUAGGGUGGGGAGAUAAGAAAAACAGGUGGGGGAGAUUAAAAGGUACAAACUUCCAGUUACAAAAUAAAUGAAUCAUAGGUAUGAAAUGUACAGUGUGAGGAAUACUGUCAAUAAUUAUGUAAUAUCUUUAUAUGGUGAAAGAUGGUAACUAGAUUUAUCGUGGUGAUCAUUUUAAAAUGUGUAGAAAUAUCAAAUCACUAUAUUGUGCAUCCGGAAGUAACACAGUGUUUUAGGUCAAUUAUACUUCAAAAAACAAACUAAAUCAUAGAAAAAGAGAUCGUUACCAGAGGCGGGGAUCAGGGGAGAGGGAGUUGGAUGAAAGUAGUCAAAAGGUACAAACUUCCAGUUAUAAGAUAAAUCAGUACCAGGGAUAUAAUGUAUAAUAUGAUAAAUAUAAUUAACACUGUUGCACGUCUAUCUAUGAAAGUUGUUAGAGGGACUUCCCUGGCUGUCCAGUGGUUAAGACUCUGUACUUCCACUGCAGUGGGCGAGGGUUCAAUCCCUGGUCUGGGAACUAAGAUCCCAUAUGCCGCAGGGUGUGGUCCAAAAAAAAAGUUUUAAAAAGUGAUCAUAGGGCUUCCCUGGUGGCACAGUGGUUCAGAGUUCGCCUGCCGAUGCAGGGGACACAGGUUCGUGCCCUGGUCCGGGAAGACCCCACAUGCCACGGAGCGGCUAGGCCCGUGAGCCAUGGCCACUGAGCCUGUGCAUCCGGAGCCUGUGCUCCGCAACGGGAGAGGCCACAACGUGAGAGGGCCGUGUACCGCAAAAUAAAUAAAUAAAUAAAUAAAUAAAAGUUUUUUUUUUUAAAGUGAUCAUAAAACAAAUUUUUUUUUCUGCACCGCGCAGCAUGCAGGAUCCUAGUUCCCCAACCAGGGGUCGAACCCAUGCCCCCUGCAGUGGGAGUGUGGAGUCCUAACCACAGGGCCACCAGAAAAGUCCCCAAACAAUUUUUUUUAAAUAAGAGAAGUAAAAAUUGAAUGUCUCCUAUAGGCCAUGUUCGAAUUCUAGCUUUGCUGCUUCUCAUGAGGCCUUAGGCAGUUAGUUAAACUUUAUGGGCCUUGAUUUCCUUAUCCAUACAUUACAAUACUUGCUGCAGCAAAGACAGCUUGGCAGCCUUCUCCAUUAUUCAAUAAACAAUACAACUUGUGAAAUAGUAAAAAAUAAAUAUAUUGGUCUCUACCCCAUUUCUGGCAUAGAGCUCCUAAAACUUCUGUAAUUUCCUAAAUGAUAAGGGUACUUAGGAGCAUUUUUUGUUCUAAUAUUUGGUCUUGGACCCUGGUUCCUGACACAGAGCUCCUAAAUCCCUUGGAAUUUCCUGGGCGAUAGGAGUGUCUUUUGUUCUAAUGAGGCAAUGAUUGGGGGGCUCCUGGAUAACUUCAGGAUUGGUGCAGGUCACCAGAAAGACCACACGCGUUGAUCAGAAGCUCGGAACUUUCAGCCCCAGCCCCCCAACCUCUGGGAAGGGGAGUGGAGCUGGAGAUUGAGUUAAUAAUCAAUCAUGCCUAUGUGAUGGAGCCCCCAUAGAAAUCCCAGCACUACAUGGUUGGAAGAGGUUCCGAGUUGGUGGACACAUCCACAUGCCAGUAGGGUGGUACAUCCUGACUCCACGGGGACAGACGCUCCUGCAUGUGGGACCCUUCUGGACCUCAUCCUAUGUACCUCUUCAUCCUGGCCAUUCAUCUGUACCUUUUCUAAUACCUUUUACAAUAAACCAGUAAACGUAAGUAAAUGUUUCCCUGAGUUCUGUAAGUCAUUCUAGCAAACUACUGACCUCUGAGGUGGGAGUCGUGGGAACCCCAAUUUAUAGCUGGUCACCAGAUUCAAGUGGGGGGAGAUAGACCCACCCCUCCAAGAGAGAAGUGACAAAGAAUUUGUGGCCAUCUUUAUCUACCACAUAAUCUGGAAAAUAUACAUAAAUACUUAGCUCAAAGGGUUGUUACAGGGCUUCCCUGGUGGCACAGUGGUUAAGAAUCCACCUGCCAGUGCAGGGGACACGGGUUCGUGCCCCGGUCCGGGAAGAUCCCACAUGCCGCGGAGCGGCUAGGCCCGUGAGCCACAACUACUGAGCCUGCGCGUCUGAAGCCUGUGCUCCGCAACGGGAGAGGCCGCGACAGUGAGAGGCCCGCGCACCGCGAUGAAGAGUGGCCCCCGCUCGCCGCAACUGGAGAAUGCCCACGCACAGAAACGAAGACCCAACACAGCCAAAAAUAAAUAAAUAAAUAUUUUUUUAAAAAGAGUUGUUACAAAAAUUAUAUUGGAUUUAUAAAAAAUGCCUUGUCUGUACUGAGGAAUAAACAAAUAAAUGUUUUAUUAUCAUAAUUCUUUUAAAACGGUCAUAUUUAGCACUAGAGGGUGCCUUUUUUUUUUCUUUUUUUUUUUUGGCCCCAUAGCUUACAGGAUCUCAGUUCCCUGACCAGGGACUGAACCCAGGCAAUGGCAGUGAAAGCCUGGAAUCCUAACCACUAGGCCUCCAGGGAACUCCCAGAGGGUACUUUAAAUUAAUAAAGAUAGAAUUCUUCACUUAGAAGAGUUCACCUCAAGUCUCUCUAAACAGCAAACUCUUCCUGGAAAAGAGGACUUGGGUCAUGUGUCAUUUCACUGACAUCCUACUAGCUAGAACUGCACCAUUCAUACACACUGAGGUGUCUUUUGAAGGCCCAAUGUGGAGAAAGAGGCUCUUGCUGGGAACAUUACCAGCUCCAUCUCCUGGAGGGGCAGUGGCUGGAGCAGCGGCCAACUAAGAAGAGAUGACCUCCCCUGGGCUUGGCUCUUAAUGUCCAAAAAAUGAGAUUGGGGGAAUGAGGAGGUGUGUCCACGGGCCACUUGUUAGUUUAUUCUCAGUGAGAUUGAUUCUGUGGUCCCUCCCAGCUCUGGCAGAUUAUAUUGUCCUCAGCCUUUUCCUCCUCAAUUCCUUAUCCAGGGGUUGUAAAUGGAACCCAUUGUGUGCUUAUCUUUUAAAAAGAAGGAGGAGGAGAAGGAGAAGAAAGAAGAGGAAGAAAUAAAAGAAAGGAAGGAGAGAGAGAGGAGAAAAAGGAAAGAAAAAAAGGAAGAAGAAUUUUUAAAUUACUUUCGGGCACAGAGCUCCUAAAACCCUUGGAAUUUCCUAAGUGAUUUAAAGUGUCUUUUGUUAUGUUAAUGAGAUGAUGUUCGGACUGCGCCUAAGGUUGGGGGCUGGUUGCCAGGAAACCAACUGUGUUAUUAGAGGGUUGGAACUUUCAGUCCCACCUCCUGACCUCCAGGGAGGGGAGAGGGACUGGAGAUUGAAUCUGCAGCCUAAUGGCCAAUGCCUUACUCAACCAUGCCGAUGAAAAAAAGCCUCUAUAAAAACCCAGAGUAUGCAGUUCAGAGAUUCCAGAUUGGUGAACAGGUGGAGGUGCUGGGAGAGUGCUGUGGUUGGAGAGCAUGGACGCUCCAUGCCCUUUCCCCAUACCUGCCCUGUGCAUCUCUUCCAUCUUGUUGUUCCUGUGUUACAUCCUUUUACAAUAAACUAUUCAUCUAGUUUAAAAAAAAAAAAGGGGGCUUCCCUGGUGGCGCAGCGGUUGCGCGUCCGCCUGCCGAUGCAG
This is an RNA transcript of Physeter macrocephalus (sperm whale), 14986 nucleotides long. It is a transcript of the gene named solute carrier family 38 member 7, with no coding region annotated. The record is from RefSeq and is a predicted model, not a curated record. The transcript has 13 exons. NCBI's taxonomy places the organism in Eukaryota, Metazoa, Chordata, Mammalia, Artiodactyla, Physeteridae.